Molecule: long non-coding RNA, 1098 nt
Filed under: Sinocyclocheilus grahami
Lineage: Eukaryota; Metazoa; Chordata; Actinopteri; Cypriniformes; Cyprinidae
Description: lncRNA (ENSSGRG00000048766.1)
Source: RNAcentral
CAGGUGUAGAUUGAUCAGCUGCUCUCCGAUCCUCUUUAUGCUGAGCCAAACACACACACACACACACACACACACACACACACACACACACACACACACACACACUCACACUGUCUCUCCUGUGCUCCAUUUCGUGCAGCUACAGUCUCACAUACAGGAACAGCAGAGAGGACGCAAAACAAGGUGACUCCUGCAGAGGCCAUCCAGGCAGGUACAUUCACAUUUCUGCUCUUCUCUGCUCACAUCUUUACUUUCAUGUCACUUAUUUCACUGUCAUAUGAACACACACACACACACACACACACACACACACACACUCUCACACUGUCUCUCCUGUGCUCCAUUUCGCGCAGCUACAGUCUCACAUACAGGAACAGCAGAGAGGACGCAAAACAAGGUGACUCCUGCAGAGGCCAUCCAGGCAGAUCCUUCUAUGUUUUUCUAGAGCCAGAACAGUUUGGUGUCUACAGACACAGCUUCAACUGUGACCCCAGAGACUGAGACAUCAUGUCAGGGGACGGUAGCCAGGGUGACAAAACCCAGUGCAAUGGAGAGAAAAAUCACAGGUAUACCUUCGGUUUCAUGGGAUUUGUUUUUCCUUUCUCAUUUUAAAUUGUGCAUUCACUUUACCCUGUGUAUUAAAAAGGCCAUUUUGCAGUGGUUACAGAUUAUUAUUAUUGUUGUUGCUUAAACAUACUGUUAAAACCUCAUUAGCAGGGUUUCUGCAGGUCUUUAAAAGGUCUUUAAAAGUGUAUACUUCACAUUUUCACAAAUUAAGGCCUUAAAAGCUCUUAAAUCGGAGCAGAAGAGAGCAGCCUUAAAUGUUGCAUGCACUGCAGAAAAUGAAUAUCAUCUUAAUUAUUUUUGUUUUUGUUGUUCCAAUAUGAAUAUGUAAACAUCCUUAAAUCCAAAUACAUUUUUCAGAUGCAAAAGGAUGAUAUGAAGUCUUGUUUUCUGAGAAAUGGAACAAUAUUAAAUGAGUCCAUGAUUAAAACAAGAACAAACAUCUGUUAAUGUGGUAUUAAAACUUGUUUUCCCUUUGAAUUAAGUUUAUUUUUCUGAGCCCACUGGCAGAUAUGUGUUGACGUUUUAACCCUA